UACAGAGACUGCAAGCGUUAUUCGGAUUCACUGGGCGUAAAGGGUGCGCAGGCGGUCGGGUGUGUCAGACGUGAAAUCCCGAGGCUCAACCUCGGAACUGCGUCUGAAACUACUCGACUAGAGUACUGGAGAGGGUAACGGAAUUCACGGUGUAGCAGUGAAAUGCGUAGAUAUCGUGAGGAACACCAGAGGCGAAGGCGGUUACCUGGACAGUUACUGACGCUCAGGCACGAAAGCCAGGGGAGCAAACGGG
RNAcentral lists this ribosomal RNA (253 nucleotides) under uncultured bacterium. RNAcentral describes it as "partial 16S ribosomal RNA". It matches the Rfam family "Bacterial small subunit ribosomal RNA", at positions 524 to 776 of the family's 1533-position model. The record is from RNAcentral.